AUGCUAGAUGCACGCCUGUGGCGACGGCUCUGUACAGGAGCCUGCCAACUGAGGUCCCCAGUGGCUCGGGAAAUCAGGGUCUGUAGGCACACUGGAUCCAGCUGUGGGAAACCGCUGGGGUCCAGGUGCGAGCCAUCCAGGGAUCACCUGGGAUCAAGAGAUUGUCUGGGAUCUAGAGAUCAACCAAGACCUAGAGACCAGCUGGGUUCCAGGGAUUGCCCCAGGGUCCAGGGACCCCCCCCCCCGGGAUUCCCUGGAACCUGGGGCUAUUCCUGGAUCGCCCGGGAUCCCCGCGAUCGCCGAGGGCCUAGCGACAAGCCUGUCCCCAGGCCGCCCGGCGGUAGGUGCAGGGGGUGGCCCCGCACGGCGCCCGCAGAGGCAGCGGCAGCGCAGCGGGGGAGGGCGCUCCGGUGCCGGGGGCCGAGCCCGGAGCCGGGCGCUGGCGGGGGCCGAGCUCCGACCGUACCUCUGCGCCGCGGCCGCUCCCCGCUGCUGCUCCGGCCUGCGGGGCCGCGCUGGUCCCACCCCGCCUGGGGCGGGGCACGGGGCUGGGCGUCUCCGCCGCUGAGUCACUGCGGGAAGCCUCCCGCGCUCGCCCCCGCCCGUCCUCCUUUCCCUGCUCCCGCCAGCCGCUGCGCUCGCCUCUCCCCGCCCCGCCCACAGCGGGGGACGCACCGGGAGCCUCCGUGGGGAAGCAGCAGGGGGCCAGGUCUGGGCCUAAGCUGGCUUGGAAGCCUUGUCCUGCCCCGGCCAGGGCCCUUAGCCUCAGGGGCCGCCUUUGUCCCUGGCAGCCGGGCCUCGCAGGCCCUUUGCUUACCAGGUGAGCCUGGGCCUCGCCAAGGCACCAGUUCUGCUUGGGGCCUCGGCCCUCCCGCCUGCCCUGGCCCGUUACCCUUGGUGCCUCACCUGCAGGAAGGCCCCUUGGGCCUUCUGCGGGGCUUCCCCUUGGUCCCAGUCCCAACAUCUGACGCUGCUGUAUCAGUCACCCAGGCACAGGAUACUAGCUCAUGUUUUUGCCCCACCCUGAAGAGCUCCUAUUUACUGUCCCACUUUGUCAGGCGGGGGGCAUUUAACAGCCCUGACCUGGUUCCCUUGGUCUGGCCAGUUGUUUGGGCGCUUUGGGAGCCUCAGUUCAGCCCUUUGAAGAGAUCAGGUGGCUCAGCCUGGAAACAAAUGAAGGAAGGCCACCCCCCUUUCUCCCCGCUUUUCCUCCCCUCCCCGCAGCAGACGAUUGGCUGA
This 1239-nucleotide long non-coding RNA is filed under the name Crocodylus porosus (Australian saltwater crocodile). RNAcentral's name for it is "lncRNA (ENSCPRG00005018941.1)". Lineage: Eukaryota; Metazoa; Chordata; Crocodylia; Crocodylidae. The record is from RNAcentral.